AUGCCCUCACCUCCUUGUUCCACCCUGUUCACAGCCAGAGCUGCAGGGCCUAUAGACUUCUCGCACUGCUGCAGUCCCUGGGGAAGCCGUAGGCCACAGUUCCCGGAGCCUGGAGUCCUGGGGCAGACAGAGCAGUUGCUCCCCAGGGAACCAUCCUUCCUCAUGUUAGUCCCUGUGCACUUGUGAUAAGAAAUCCUUGCCCCCACCAUUGCAGACGUGAGGUCGAAGGCAAAAGAGGCAGUGCCGUCCUGCAGCACCAUCAUUGUCUCCUGCUCAGCUUUUGGAGCAAACACAUCUUCCAGUGCUGAGCUCCUGGGCCCUGGGAGGGUUCCCUAGCUCCCUCCUUGGAGGUGAGUCCCAGAGUGUGGGCCACCGGAGGCCAAUUUGGCCCCAUGCUCUGUUGCAGUCUCUGGAGAACCUGGCAGAGGCUGUGUGGGGAUGUGACCAGCCAUUGUCUGGGAAAGGAGCUUGAAGCUGA
This 478-nucleotide long non-coding RNA is filed under the name Ailuropoda melanoleuca (giant panda). RNAcentral describes it as "lncRNA (ENSAMEG00000029002.1)". Lineage: Eukaryota; Metazoa; Chordata; Mammalia; Carnivora; Ursidae. The record is from RNAcentral.